UAGGGAAUCUUCGGCAAUGGGGGCAACCCUGACCGAGCAACGCCGCGUGAGUGAAGAAGGUUUUCGGAUCGUAAAGCUCUGUUGUAAGAGAAGAACGUGUGUGAGAGUAACUGUUCAUUCGAUGACGGUAUCUAACCAGCAAGUCACGGCUAACUACGUGCCGG
RNAcentral lists this ribosomal RNA (164 nucleotides) under uncultured bacterium. RNAcentral's name for it is "partial 16S rRNA". It matches the Rfam family "Bacterial small subunit ribosomal RNA", at positions 355 to 511 of the family's 1533-position model. The record is from RNAcentral.